UACGGGGGGAGCAAGCGUUGUUCGGAUUUACUGGGCGUAAAGGGCGCGUAGGCGGUCAGCACAAGUCAGUUGUGAAAUCUCCGGGCUUAACUCGGAAAGGUCAACUGAUACUGUGCGACUAGAGUGCGGAAGGGGCAACUGGAAUUCUCGGUGUAGCGGUGAAAUGCGUAGAUACUGGGAGGAACACCAGUGGCGAAGGCGGCUACCUGGACCGGUUCUGACGCUGAGGCGCGAAAGCGUGGGUAGCAAACAGG
This 254-nucleotide ribosomal RNA is filed under the name uncultured bacterium. Its description in RNAcentral is "partial 16S ribosomal RNA". It matches the Rfam family "Bacterial small subunit ribosomal RNA", at positions 524 to 776 of the family's 1533-position model. The record is from RNAcentral.